RNAcentral lists this ribosomal RNA (253 nucleotides) under uncultured bacterium. RNAcentral's name for it is "partial 16S ribosomal RNA". It matches the Rfam family "Bacterial small subunit ribosomal RNA", at positions 524 to 776 of the family's 1533-position model. The record is from RNAcentral.
UACGUAGGGUGCGAGCGUUAAUCGGAAUUACUGGGCGUAAAGUGUGCGCAGGCGGCCGAGCAAGUCGAGUGUGAAAGCCCUCGGCUUAACCGAGGAAGUGCAUUCGAAACUGACGGUCUUGAGUAUGGAAGAGGGUCGCGGAAUUCCCGGUGUAGAGGUGAAAUUCGUAGAUAUCGGGAGGAACACCAGUGGCGAAGGCGGCGACCUGGGCCAAUACUGACGCUGAGGUGCGAAAGCGUGGGGAGCAAACAGG